GACGAACGCUGGCGGCGUGCUUAACACAUGCAAGUCGAACGGAAAGGCCCUGCUUUUGUGGGGUGCUCGAGUGGCGAACGGGUGAGUAACACGUGAGUAACCUGCCCUUGACUUUGUGAUAACUUCAGGAAACUGGGGCUACUACCUGAUAGGAGCUCCUGCUGCAUGGUGGUCGUUGGAAAGUUUCGGCUGUUGGGGAUGGACUCGCGGCUUAUCAGCUUGUUGGUGGGGUAGUGGCUUACCAAGGCUUUGACGGGUAGCCGGCCUGGGAGGGGGACCGGGGACAUGGGGACUGAGGUACGGAGCAGAAGCGAACGGGAGGCAGAAGGGGGGAAUAUUACACAAUGGGCGGAAGCGUGAUGCAGAAACGCCGCGUGCGGGAUGACGGCCUUCGGGGUGUAAACCGCUGUCGCCUGUGACGAAGCGGGAGUGACGGUAAUGGGUAAAGAAGCACCGGCUAACUACGUG
RNAcentral lists this ribosomal RNA (468 nucleotides) under uncultured bacterium. Its description in RNAcentral is "partial 16S ribosomal RNA". It matches the Rfam family "Bacterial small subunit ribosomal RNA", at positions 28 to 507 of the family's 1533-position model. The record is from RNAcentral.